AUCGCUUCCUUAUCUUAACUAUAUCACAAAUUUAUCUUAUAUUACAGAUCGUAUUUGAAAAUAUCUACUAUAACUCAUGGCUUAUUUUCGAAAUGAAGUUCAUCAUAUUUCUCGGCUUAACAAAUUUAGUCUGUGGUAUAAAUUUAAGUGAAACGUUUAGGAACAGCGCUUUCGGAUAUCAUGCCAGGGUCGGAAUUCCUUUAGCUGAAAGAAUACAAAGAGAUGAAAAUAAUUAUUUCAAUUCUAGAAUUGUUGGAGGUGUACCAGCCGUCGCUGGACAAUAUCCUUUUAAAGCCGGACUAAUUGGAGAUAUAAUUGGAUUUGAUGGUGUUAGCGUGUGCGGUGGAUCCCUUAUCCAUCCUUCAAAGGUUGCUACAGCUGCGCACUGCUGGAAUGACGGUGAAAACCAAGCAUGGCGUUUUACCGUCGUGCUUGGUUCUAGCUUAUUGUUCAGCGGCGGAACGAGACUUGCUUCAAGCGUUGUUGUCGCUCAUCCAGAUUGGAACCCUAAUUCGGUUCAGAAUGAUGUUGCUGUGAUAUAUUUAACCUAUGAAGUAGAAACAUCAAGUAUCAUUACACCUAUCGCUUUACCAUCCGGUCCUGAACUGUUUGAAAAUUUUAAAGGAGAAGCGGCAAUUGCCAUUGGAUUUGGUAUCACGAGUAAUGAUAACGGCAUUUCAUCUAAUCAGUUCUUAAGUCAUGUGCGCUUGACUGUAAUUUCGAAUAAUAUUUGCAAUUUGGUGUUCCCGUUUAUUUUGCAAGCAUCCAACAUCUGUACCAGUGGUUUUGGAUUUAUUGGUACUUGCGGUGGAGACUCCGGUGGUCCUCUUAUUACUUACAGGAAUAAUGAGCCUAUAUUAGUAAGUAGCCUUUGUUAAAUGCUUAUAUCUAGGAUUAGGAGUACUAGUGUAUGCACUAGUACUUGUGUUUGUUGUUUUUUUAGAUUUAAUCUGUUGUAAAUUGAAUUGUUCAUAUUAGUUAAGUGGUUAGUGCACUUUUAACAUGUUAAAGAAUGAUGCAUAUAAAAUAAUAUAUUAUUAAAAAUAAUUCAGACUGAUUAGUCAGAGAUUAGUCAGGCGAGGCGUUAUUUCAUUUGUAAGAAAUAUAUAACUUUUUUUUUAUUGCUUUUAUGGGUGGACGAGCUCACAGCCCAGCUGAAAAAUUGGUAUCCGCCUGAGAUUCGAACACCGAUACAUCGCUCAACACGAAUGCACCGGACGUCUUAUCCGUUAGGCCACGACGACUUCAUAUAACUUUGAUACAACACCUGAUUAAACAAUUGCAAUGGUUAGGUUGUCCAAAUUUCCAAAGGAAGGCGUUUCUGUCGUUACCCUUCUUCAAACUUUAACAGAAGAGCUUGUGUUUGCCGUAGUGAUUUAAAUAUUUACUGAUAUAAUAUUAGUUGCGUAUUCAAACCUUUUAAUCAAUUGCAUAUAAUAAUAAAAAUUUAAACUGUGUUUCUUAAAACACUUCAGUUUGUACAAAGUUUGAAGCAAUUACAUGUUAGUUAUUCUAGCUUUUCUAGUUUUUUCAGUGCUCGUACGAUAAUUUUAAGUAGCUCGUCGCUAUUGAGCUGUUUUGUUCAAAAUACGUAACAGAGAUUUAUUUUCACAGAUUGGCAUUGCAUCAUUCGGUUCGGCCUUAGGUUGUGAAAUCGGCCUCCCGUCUGCUUACUCCAGAGCAACAUCAUAUGUGGACUUCUUCAACCAACACUUAAAACAAUAAUUUUAAAUUUAUAGUUUCCUAAAAAAACAUACAUUUGAUAUCAUUUCACGUAAGAUAAAUCUAGAAGUAAAUCAUAAAUAUAUACUAAAAAAUAAGCAUUUGUUAUUUAAAAUGUAAAUGAAAAUUAUAGUUGUAGUUUUUUUGUUUUAAAUGCAUAAUAAUUAAAAAGAAGGUAUAGUAAUUACGUAUUAAAUUAAAAUUGAUAUUUUUGAGGAUUGGUGUUGUGUGUUUUUACUUUUUCAACCGAGUUGCAACUUUGUGCAGUUUUUGUUAGUACAAUCAGCUAAAUUUUUUGAGUAUAAUGACAAUGUUAUCCACUUUUUUUGCUUUUUAUUGCCCUUUUAGGUAGACUAGCAAACGGCCCACCUGAUGGUGAGUGCCAACCGUCGCAAUGGACGACAGCAAUACCAGGGGCAUCGCCAAUUUGCUGCCUGCCGUAAAGUACUGUCCACAAACCUCAUUUGAAGCAGGACAUAUCCUAGCGCUGACACUUACAGAAAGUCGGAUCAAAACAUGUAACUAGUUAAUAAAAUAAAGUAAUAUGUGAAAAACAAAA
Molecule: RNA transcript, 2281 nt
Organism: Bombyx mori (domestic silkworm)
Lineage: Eukaryota; Metazoa; Arthropoda; Insecta; Lepidoptera; Bombycidae
Gene name: brachyurin
Exons: 5
Source: RefSeq, a predicted model, not a curated record